Molecule: long non-coding RNA, 1685 nt
Filed under: Phasianus colchicus (ring-necked pheasant)
Lineage: Eukaryota; Metazoa; Chordata; Aves; Galliformes; Phasianidae
Description: lncRNA (ENSPCLG00000019912.1)
Source: RNAcentral
UGGAUCAAAAUUAUGAUGCCUAAUAUAAUUUAUUUGCAACCAUUCUAGGUUUCAGAAUAAAAAUUAUGUUGCUAUUCAACCACUGUUGAGAGAACACCCAUUAAAAGUGAAGAGCAGGCCAAGACUUCAAUGAACUCUUUCUAUUGUUUUAGUAGAACAGUAAAGGACUAAAGGAACGUGUUUAUGAAACAAAGAAAACAGCAUUCUUCAAGAAUGCAGGAUAUUGAUGUAGCUGAAGGAGGCUUUUUUCUAUCUUGGCAAUCAUUCUCUUUUCUGAGAGACUCAUCAAUGGACGAAAUAGUUCCACAAAUUCUGAGGCAUUUGAACUGGUAUUUAAAAAGUACAAGGGAAUCAUCUUACCUAAGAACAAGAGAGGAUUUUAGCAUACAUACCUAUUAUGAAGACAAGGGAAUUAUAACAUUCUUAAACAAUAAUGAAAAGAGAAAGACCUUCUCAUUCCACAAAACAGAUUUUGGAUGACGGUUGACUCUCUCUUCCACAAUUCAGGUUUAAUCACAGCGUAAUCCCAGUAAGCAUGAUGAUUAAAUAAUCUUCAAUCCUUUCUGUUCUCACACCAGUGAAAUCAGGCUCUGCAUUUUGCUGAUGUUUUUUAUACAAUCACCCCUAGAUCCUUUCAAAAUACUGUGUGUAUGUCUGUGAGAAAAAUGCUUCUGAUAAUGGCUUUGUCAGUUUGUACACAGGAUGGAAUCCAGAUGCACUAUUCUGGACAUCAUUCUCUACUCUGAUAUUUUAUUUAACAGGUUUUUGUUAAAACAGAACAAAUGGAUAUUUGGUAUUCCUAAACAGAACAAAAGCCUUACCCGUUUCUUCAUUCUUUAUGCUUUUAUCAUGCUAUUGUAAUUUGUUUUUUCAUUUAUGGUCUAGAAGUCUAAUAGUGUCAUUCCAUUGCUUUGACUAUUGCAGUAUCUCACCAGUGCAGCUCUAUUGUCUGUGACAUUUAUAACUAGUCCUUUCUAGACUCCUGUUCCAUCUGUUCAUGCUCAGAUUCAAAUGUUCAGUUCUUUUUAUUUAGCCAUGUUAUGACUGUACAAAUCAGAAGGUUAAAUAAGACAGAUCCUUAAACUGUUUGGGUUUCUGUGCCCAACAAUGUAAAUGGCUUAUACAAGACACAGUUCAGAACACGUAUGUGAUUUUUGCACUUCUGAAGUUGUGUUUUGAAUUGCCCCAAUGUCCAAUUGCAUGUCACUCAUCCUACUGAUCUCAGCAUGAAAUUGAUAUUUAUGGAACGGAUCAAAAGAAAAAGGGUUUGUUGUGACCUCUUUCAAGAUUCCUAUGUAAUAAUAAUAGUAAAGGGUGAUUCUUGGAAAAUACUUUCGUUUUCUUGUUCGCUGGUUGGAAUUUUGUAUGAUUUCAUAUGUUUUUCUCAUUAAAAUCCAUAAUAUUUAGUCAUUCUGUGAUUGCAUACAACAUGAAAUCCACAUGUUCACAGGAAUGAAAACGUAUAAGUUCGUUAUCUGUAAGUUCUGCCUUGAUUCCUCUUCUUUACUGUGAUUUUUACUGGUUUGGGUAUUCUUAAAUUCCUGUUUUUCUCUUACACAGGAAAAUAAUUCUUUGACUGUUGAUUUUAAUCAAUGUAAUCAAUUUAAGAUGUAUUACUUUACCCAGUGCUCAUUGCACCAUGCAGUUGGAGCCUUAAUAAAGCAUUAGUGCUGCUGUUUUUCUCA